This 39-nucleotide transfer RNA is filed under the name Pyramimonas parkeae. RNAcentral's name for it is "partial Selenocysteine transfer RNA". The record is from RNAcentral. Lineage: Eukaryota; Viridiplantae; Chlorophyta; Pyramimonadophyceae; Pyramimonadales; Pyramimonadaceae.
UGGUCGCCGGUGGAGACUUCAAAACUGCAGUGAUGCUCC